AUUGAACGCUGGCGGCAGGCCUAACACAUGCAAGUCGAGCGGAUGAAGGGAGCUUGCUCCUGGAUUCAGCGGCGGACGGGCGAGUAAUGACUAGGAAUCUGACUGGUAGUGGGGGCUAACGUCCGGACACGGGCGCUAAUACAGCAUACGUUCUGAGAGAGAACGUCGGGGAUCUUCGGACCUCACGCUAUCAGAUGAGCCUAGGUCGGAUUAGCUAGUUGGUGGGGUAAAGGCCUACCAAGGCGACGAUCCGUAACUGAUCUGAGAGGAUGAUCAGUCACACUGGAACUGAGACACGGUCCAGACUCCUACGGGAGGCAGCAGUAGGGAAUCUUGGACAAUGGGCGAAAGCCUGAUCCAGCAAUGCCGCGUGUGUGAAGAAGGUCUUCGGAUUGUAAAGCACUGUAAGUUGGGAGGAAGGACAGUAAGUUAAUAUCUUGCUGUUUUGACGUUACCAAAAGAAUAAGCACCGGCUAACUUCGUG
This 484-nucleotide ribosomal RNA is filed under the name uncultured bacterium. RNAcentral's name for it is "partial 16S ribosomal RNA". It matches the Rfam family "Bacterial small subunit ribosomal RNA", at positions 30 to 507 of the family's 1533-position model. The record is from RNAcentral.